CCUACGGGUGGCAGCAGUGAGGAAUAUUGGUCAAUGGCCGGAAGGCUGAACCAGCCAUGCCGCGUGAAGGUCAGUGCCCUUUGGGCGUUAAACUUCUUUUUUUCGGGGGCAAUAAUGGUCACGUGUGGCCAGACGAGAGUACCGUACCAAUAAGCAUCGGCUAACCCCGUGCCCGCAGCCGCGGUGAUACGGGGGAUGCAAGCGUUAUCCGGAUUUAUUGGGUUUAAAGGGUGCGUAGGGUGGGCGGUAAGGCAGCGGUGAAAUGCCCCCGCUCAAAGGGGUGAAGUGCCAUUGAUACUGCCGUGCUGGAAUGCGGAUGCGGUAGGAGGAAUGUGUGGUGUAGCGGUGAAAUGCAUAGAUAUCACACAGAACACCGAUUGCGAAGGCAUCUCACGAAGCCGCGAUUGACGCUGAUGCACGAAAGCGUGGGUAUCAAACAGGAUUAGAUACCCUGGUAGUC
This 460-nucleotide ribosomal RNA is filed under the name uncultured bacterium. RNAcentral describes it as "partial 16S ribosomal RNA". It matches the Rfam family "Bacterial small subunit ribosomal RNA", at positions 338 to 795 of the family's 1533-position model. The record is from RNAcentral.